This 253-nucleotide ribosomal RNA is filed under the name uncultured bacterium. RNAcentral describes it as "partial 16S ribosomal RNA". It matches the Rfam family "Bacterial small subunit ribosomal RNA", at positions 524 to 776 of the family's 1533-position model. The record is from RNAcentral.
UACGAAGGGGGCUAGCGUUGUUCGGAAUUACUGGGCGUAAAGCGCGUGUAGGCGGGUCUUUAAGUCAGGGGGGAAAUGCCAAGGCUCAACCUUGGAACUGCCUUUGAUACUGGAGACCUUGAGUCCGGGAGAGGUGAGUGGAAUUCCCAGUGUAGAGGUGAAAUUCGUAGAUAUUGGGAAGAACACCAGUGGCGAAGGCGGCUCACUGGCCCGUAACUGACGCUGAGGUGCGAAAGCGUGGGGAGCAAACAGG